Cyanistes caeruleus (blue tit) is the source of this 2440-nucleotide long non-coding RNA. RefSeq lists it as uncharacterized. Lineage: Eukaryota; Metazoa; Chordata; Aves; Passeriformes; Paridae. The record is from RefSeq and is a predicted model, not a curated record.
GCUCCUUGUGAGGAGCACUUUGUUCCUGCAGGGUGGAGGCAAGUGAGGAAAGCUGGAUGGUCCCAGCUGACAGACACAUGUAAACUCUGACUUACCGAGGAUGAUCCACCUUCCCUGUCUUUGCUCUGUGCUCUGGAAAAAAAAAACCAGCUGAAACUCUGAGACAACCUUUGCAAGUCCCUUCCCCAGGCUGCAUCUGAAGCCCAUCACAAGGACAGGUGCUACAAGUUCUCUGCAGAAAAUACCUACAAAGAGAUGUCACAUCCUAGACCAAAAGGGACUGUACUUCAGAGGGAGACCUUCAGAACAAAGCCUGCUAAAGGAAUCUCCACAAAUGCUAAGUUUGGUUUCAAAUAUCAAGUUGUCAUUGUCUUCCCCACCAUUCCACCAUCCUACCUCUGUAGUCCAAACAGAGAACAAGAACUUAUUGCUUCUUAAUUCCAGAUUAAAGUCAGUAAACCAUACUCAAGAGAUAAAGGGAGAGUUGAGGCUUUCCCUCAUCAUGGGGAAGAAGGUGAAAAAGAGGAAGAAGUGGUUUGGGGGUUGGCCAGCUACCCCACUCAGCACAAUGGAUUUCUGAAUACAAACCAAAGAAGGGAUUCACUGCAUAAGCAUAGCAAGCCUUCCCUCAGAGGAAAUCACCAAGGGACUGGGUCCACUGUCAUCAGAAGUAACCCCCUGUUGGUCCUGCUACUGCAAGUACGUUAAUCCCAGUGGCUCACAGAUUUUUUCCCUUGGCUCCUGACCUGCAAAGUAAUCUGAAAAGGAGUACUUUGUGCAUUACUGCCUCUGCUUAUUUAUUCACUUAUUUUAAUUUGAAAGAGGAUUUAGUGAUUCGUGGGAGCUGGGGAUCAAUAUCCCUAUCUUGAGCCAAGAACAACUCUGAGCAAGAGCAGUCACGGGAUUCUGUGACUGAUGGCACACCUCAGAACUGACCUCCCACCAGGGCCUGGCUUCCCAGUCACCCUUCGGCCACUGCCCCUGCUAUUCCACAGGCACCCCAGCAUCUCCCUUGGCUGUUUCCUUUCCCUUCUGCACUCAAGUCUUCCUUGAGUAGGGACUAUAAGAUACAAGCCAGAAGGCAAGCACAACAUUUCAGAUUUAUUGGCAUGCCUGCAUCAGACUAUGAUGGUAUCAAGUGGCACAUGAUGGAAGGUGGGGACCAGCAUCUACUUUAGAUGAAGCAAAAGUGAUGUUUGUGAAUGAGAGAGGCAAGAGGUGUGCAGUGUCCCAGCAGUGUCCAAUGGAUGAGGACAAUUAUCACCAGAAGAUGAGACUUCUCUCCCUCCUCAGCAGACAGUGUGAUAGGAAGGAGGCAUGGAUACAGCUGAUCACGUCUCUGGCAAAGCAAGAGUCUGUGUAGGUGUCAUAGAAGAGGAUGAUGUUUCAUUCUUGGAGGCACAUCAGAUAAUUUGACUCCUAUGUCCUAUUUCUCUGAACCUUUACUCUAACCAAGCUUUGCCUGGAUCGGUAAAGCAGCAAUAGGAAUGACCAGCAAUGUUGGUGUUUUUUUUUUUUUGGUAACUUCUAUUUUCUUAUGGUCUGGGAGCCAUCAGCCUCUCAGUUUUAGACCUGCUUUGAUGUACUCUUGAAUGAGCCAUGGAGAACAGCAGGAGCUCUGCUGGCUCAGUGGCAUGCUUGAGCUGAGGGUCUGCCCUCAGGAGUGACAGUCAGUCAUUUGUGCUGGAAGGGCAUGUUAGAGGCUGCUGCUCAGCAUUGCAUUCCUUGCCCAGCCAGAGCAUUUCCAGAUGCAGGAAAGAGUCGUUUCCCAGAACAGCAGCUCUGACUAUGAGCUAAGACCAAGUCAGAAGCAAAACAAGUCAGGGUCCUAUUUAAGCCCUGUCAGAAAUUACCAGCCCUGUUCCAGACAAAGAGGUGACAUUCAGAGUCCUACCACAAGCUGAACUCACUCUGACUCACAAUGGUCUUGGUUCUUUUUAAGUGAAGUUAUGGACUGGUGUAGUUGCAUCAUUGCAGAGCUCUGCAUGGACCUUGUUUUAGCAUCAGAUGGAGUUAGCACAAGACUUUGAGGGUGCUGGGAAAUGAACGCACUGCUGGGGGAUACACCUUGUUUGGGACUGACUCUGCAGACUUCUGUUCUUACCCCGCAAUACUUCAGCCUUGUUCACAAAAACAGGCCUGCAUUCAGCCAAAAUAAGGAUAGCUACAUGCCCUGAGCACCAGUUCACUAAAGCAGCACAGUCAAGGCCAAGGGACAUUGAAAUCCCAGAGACCAAAUGCUUCCUGUCAGAAGGCCUGGAGGCGACCGUCACUUUAGACAGGGUCGUCAAAAAACCACUGUGUCGUGAGGUCUGAAGGGAGUGGAAGCCUGAGACAGAUAUUGAAGGGAAGCCGAAGAGGCAGCAAGCAAAGCACAAGGGCUGGGAUUUGAGGAGAGCACAUUUACUACUGGCUGGACUUGUUACUGUUUCGGUGCAGU